UUCUUUGGAAAAGUAGCACAGCAUAUAUGGCGCGACCCCCUCGCUCAGUCUAUCCAGUAUCCAUGUAUCGUACACACGCGUCUCUAUGAAUGGGCUGAGAAACUCGAAACGGAUGGAAAAGAGACGAGUGAGACCACCAGAUGAUGACAUGACAAUGGAAAUCCCAUUCGGGAGAUCAGACGCUUGCAAUACUUCCUCGAGAGUUCGUGGAAUACAGUAGCCUGUAUCGCAAGAAGCUGGAAUUGUCCAAUUCCCUGGAAACGAAGAAAAUGUUGUUAAUCGCA
Long non-coding RNA from Ornithodoros turicata, 284 nucleotides. RefSeq lists it as uncharacterized. The transcript is spliced from 2 exons. NCBI's taxonomy places the organism in Eukaryota, Metazoa, Arthropoda, Arachnida, Ixodida, Argasidae. The record is from RefSeq and is a predicted model, not a curated record.